GAUAAAGUGGCUGCAUUCAAAGCCAAACUGUAAUUAUGGAUCAAUAAAUCAACAUUGAGGAUUUUGACAUAUUUCAAACAUUAGCAAGGAUUUAAAUAGAGAUUGAGCGAGGACCUUUUUUUGUCUCAGCUGGUGCGUGAUCAUCUAUUUCAGUCUUCAAAAUACUUUGACCAUUACUUUCCAACUACAACAGACCCCCAAACUGAUAAGAAAUAGAUCGGUGAUCCAUUUGUGAAUAAACCAAGGGAAUCAACUUUGUGCUAGAAGAGGAUCAACUGCUAGAAAUUGCAAGCGACAGUAGCCUCAAAAGUGGUUUUCUUCAUUGACAGUAACCAAAUGAGAUUAUAGAGGAGACCAGACAUGUGCAGCACACUCAGAGUUGCUGUCUCUACAGAUGGAACUGUCAAGUUUCAAGAAAACAAGUUAGAGGCUGCCAUUAAUUCUCCAUUAUGCAAAGGUCUCCAGGACCCCCUCUCCUCACACCGGAUGCCACAGCAGGACCUGAAGGCGGCCCAGGCUGACCACCCCUCGGGGUGAUUCGAGGUGUUCUGUUUCCAUAUUCACCCAGUUGCCGGGCUUUGAAUGUGUGUCUCCUGUCCCUGCCUCCACCCCUCUGGCCACCAGUGAUGCCCAACAAGGCCUGGCUGAUUUGUGAGGUCUGAGAGUCAUGGCUUUUAGCUCGGGUGACCAGAAGAAAGUGG
This 701-nucleotide long non-coding RNA is filed under the name Heterocephalus glaber (naked mole-rat). RNAcentral describes it as "lncRNA (ENSHGLG00000047263.1)". The record is from RNAcentral. Lineage: Eukaryota; Metazoa; Chordata; Mammalia; Rodentia; Bathyergidae.